GAUGAACGCUGGCGGCGUGCUUAACACAUGCAAGUCGAACGAAGCACUUUACCUUGAUUCCUUCGGGUUGAUUGGUACUGUGACUGAGUGGCGGACGGGUGAGUAACGCGUGGGGAACCUGCCCCAUACAGGGGGAUAACAGAUAGAAAUGUCUGCUAAUACCGCAUAAGACCACAGCACCGCAUGGUGCAGGGGUAAAAACUGAGGUGGUAUGGGAUGGACCCGCGUCUGAGUAGCUGGUUGGUGAGGUAACGGCUCACCAAGGCGACGAUCAGUAGCCGACCUGAGAGGGUGACCGGCCACAUUGGGACUGAGACACGGCCCAA
RNAcentral lists this ribosomal RNA (326 nucleotides) under uncultured bacterium. Its description in RNAcentral is "bacterial SSU rRNA". It matches the Rfam family "Bacterial small subunit ribosomal RNA", at positions 28 to 334 of the family's 1533-position model. The record is from RNAcentral.